CGAUUAACACCCAGGCUCAGCCGGAGGAGGAGCAGGAGGGCGUCCACGGCGGCAGGCGGCGUCGCCGGAGCGCAGGUGGAGGCGGCGCUGAACCGCAAGAACGUGGAGGCGCUCCCGGAGGACGAGACGGUGGAGGGCGGCCCGGAGGACGCUCUGGUGGACGAGGCUGCCGUCUCCGGCACCAAAAACCACGACCACUGCGGAGCGGCGGCGGCCGGCGGCUCGCCGUCGGUGCUUGACCAGGCUGUGUUCGUCCACGAGGAGGACAUGGAGGACGUCGAGAGGCCGGCCGUCGACAUGGCCGCUGCCAAUCACAAGCCCAAAUAA
Molecule: long non-coding RNA, 327 nt
Filed under: Oryza sativa aus subgroup
Lineage: Eukaryota; Viridiplantae; Streptophyta; Magnoliopsida; Poales; Poaceae
Description: lncRNA OsNaBo_06g0026430
Source: RNAcentral